GCUUGGUCAGAGUCUCUUGAUUGACGGAGAAGCGAGUGGGUUGCAUUUCGUAAAAGUUAAAGUUUAAGAAAUCAAGGAGGUGCCGAUACAAAGGCUAAACCUCCGAAAACCAUCGCAUCGCAUCGCAUCUUCGCCUCCACCUGGCCGGCUCAUCUCCAUCUGAUGGCCUCGGCCUCCAGCAGCAGCGCCCGCUCUCUGUUCGCCGAAUCGCGCACCAAGCUAGUCGAACGGGUGGCGGGGAACGUGGAGGCCUGUGGGUCCGUGUGUCGACAGGUGGUGCGAGGCUCCAGGUCUCACGAGACACUGCUGGCGGCAGCGCGCGCCACUGCUGCUCAGGAGUCAGCCAUCGACCACACGUGCGGAACAGUUCAGAAGUUACGCAUUCUCGCCACUCACUUGGGCUACCAGUGGGAGUCGAUCGCUCGCUCCGCUCACCAGAUUCCGCCGCUGGCUGAGCAGGCGAGGGCACUCCCGCCGCCCAACUGAGGAGUGAGGGCACUCCCACCACCCAACUGAGCAGGCGAGGGCACUCCCGCCACCCAACUGAGCAGGCGAGGGCACUCCCACCGCCAAACUGAGCAAGACGAGCCUUUACGACCGGACAGACACGGUUAGAGCCGCUCUUCACACCACAAUGCAGCUAACUGUCGAGUUCAGCGGCGGUGCUGAACUCCUCUUCGGGAACGUCAAACAGCACAGAGUAACUCUUCCAGACCGGGGCGACGGAGACUCGGUGUGGACGAUGGAGGGCCUGCUGCCCUGGCUGAGGGAUAACUUGCUGAAGGAGCGGCCAGAGCUCUUCAUGCAGGGGGACACGGUUCGUCCCGGGAUCCUGGUUCUGGUGAAUGACGCAGACUGGGAGCUUCUCGGUCAGCUGAGCUACAAACUGCAGCCGGAUGACACGGUCGUGUUCAUAUCAACACUCCACGGCGGGUAGUCGCUUCGCCCGGGAUGACAGAAGGUAAAGCUGGCUGCACUUGACUCUUCAGGGCGGUUAGGGUUGUCAUCCGUGCUGACAGGUAAAUCUGGCCGUAUAGCGGCUAGUCUAGCCGUUUGGACUGGUGAGAGCUAGGCUGGUCCCAUCAGACACUUCCCUAGUGCGGUUAGCCUAGUCGCCUGGGCUGGCAGAAUGCCAGAUUGACCGUGCUUGAUCUUACUCGUCGCCUAGACGACUCCGCUGACAGGUCAAGACUUAUACAGCAUCCAACUUCACACAAGGUAACUGGCUUAUCCAGCCUGGAAAGUCUCCAUGCUGGUCGCAUUAAACAUCUAUGGAGAUCUCAAUCCUGUCGGUGUUUUCUUGACUGGACAAACGCAUUUGGGGAAAACUGGUCGCGGGAAACUUCGGUCGCGCCAUAGACAUUGGUCAGCCUGGUGCUAUGGCAUGAUGCGUGAGUCGUGACUUGCUCCAUUGUCCCGUGAUAUGUACGGGACGAAUGUGUUUUUGGGGUCACAACGCGUCAUGUGAUUCGUGAGUGCCGAUGCUGUGCCGCUUGUUUUACUGUUGUGGUUUUAUGUAUGGUGUAUGCCUAAUGUUUUGUUUCUAGAAACUUGUAAAAUGAUCGAGUAACGCGUCAAAUAAAUCAUUCUCUAGAUGAUA
Molecule: unclassified non-coding RNA, 1600 nt
Filed under: Amphibalanus amphitrite
Lineage: Eukaryota; Metazoa; Arthropoda; Thecostraca; Balanomorpha; Balanidae
Description: ubiquitin-related modifier 1-like, transcript variant X3
Source: RNAcentral